UAUGGUGUGCCGGGGGCCGCGCGGGCCGGGAGUUGGGUGGGCUGGGGGACAGGCGCGCCCGCGCCGCCCGCUCCAGCUGGGCUAGUGCUGCACAUUCCGGCCAGCCCCUCCUCAAGACCCCAUUCCCAAGCCCCUUCUCAGCUCCCUCGGGCCGGCAGAGCGGCUCUGAUCAGUAAAAUGCUGUUGAAGGCCCACGGGCAUGACUGCACCCCUCACUAAUUGGUCAUUGGUUUGGGGAGGACACCACUGUCCCAGUGGAACCUUGAGCACACCUUGGAGCCCUCCUCUUCCUCUCCGGACCUGUGCCAAACUGUGAGUGGCACAGAGCAAGGACUGUAUGUGUUCUCUUCUUUGUUGCAUACUCAGUUCCUUGACCACAGUGCCAAGCACACAGCGAGCACUCCCUGUGUAUCUGCUGAGUAAAUAAACGAAUGAACAAACCCAACACAUUUCAGCCAAGUCCUGCUGAUGUUUCUCCUCCGAUCUAGCUCCUCCUUUCCAGCCUUACUUCUGCCACUCCAGAUUUCACCCCCAUCAGCUUCAGACUGGAUAAAAGGAAACCAUUUCUCUAAAGGAUCACUUGCUCUCUCAUUUCAGGCCAUCCUGCAGCCACCAGAACCUUCCACAUGAAAUGAAAGGCUCACCACUUCAUAGGCUUUAAGGAAAUUCUUGGCCAGGUGUGGUGCCUCACUCAUGUAAUCCCAGUGCUUUAAGAGGCCAAGAUGGGAGGAUUGUUUGAGCCAGCUGUUUGAGACCAGCCUGGGCAACGUCAUGAGACCCCAUCUCCACAAAAAAAAAAAAAAAGAAAAUUGGCUGGGUGCGGUGGCUCAUGUCUGUAAUCCCAGCAAUUUUGGAGGCUGAGGCGGGUGGAUCACUUGAGGUCAGGAGUUUGAGACCAGCCUGGCCAACAUGGUGAAACCCCGUCACUACUAAAAAUACAAAAAUUAGCCAGGCGUGGCGGCAGGUGCCUGUAAUCCCAGCUACUUGCGAGGCUGAGGAAGAAUUGCGUGAACCUAGGAGGUGGAGGUUGCAGUGAGCCAAGAUCAUGCUGCUGCACUCCAGCCUGGGCAACAGAGUGAGACUCCAUCUCAAAAAUAAUAAAAAUAAAUUAA
Molecule: long non-coding RNA, 1112 nt
Filed under: Homo sapiens (human)
Lineage: Eukaryota; Metazoa; Chordata; Mammalia; Primates; Hominidae
Description: non-protein coding TRIM52-AS1:14
Source: RNAcentral